GUGCUCGCUUCAGCAGCACACACACUAAAAUUGGAACGACAAGGGAAGACCAGCAUGGCCACUGCACAAGGAUAACAUGCAAAUUCGUGAAGCGUUACAUAUUUAA
Molecule: small nuclear RNA, 106 nt
Organism: Molossus molossus (Pallas's mastiff bat)
Lineage: Eukaryota; Metazoa; Chordata; Mammalia; Chiroptera; Molossidae
Source: RefSeq, a predicted model, not a curated record